Molecule: ribosomal RNA, 797 nt
Filed under: uncultured archaeon
Lineage: Archaea
Description: bacterial SSU rRNA
Rfam family: Archaeal small subunit ribosomal RNA
Source: RNAcentral
ACUGCUCAGUAACACGUGGCCAAACUACCCUCUGGAGCGCGACAACCUCGGGAAACUGAGGCUAAUCGUGCAUACCGCUCUCACGCUGGAAGUUGCGGAGAGCUCGAAACGCCCCGGCGCCAGAGGAUGUGGCUGCGGCCGAUUAGGUAGACGGUGGGGUAACGGCCCACCGUGCCAGUAAUCGGUACGGGUUGUGAGAGCAAGAGCCCGGAGACGGUAUCUGAGACAAGAUACCGGGCCCUACGGGGCGCAGCAGGCGCGAAACCUUUACACUGCACGCCAGUGCGAUAAGGGGACUCCAAGUGCGAGGGCAUAGAGCCCUCGCUUUUCUGUACCGUAAGGUGGUACAAGAAUAAGUGCUGGGCAAGACCGGUGCCAGCCGCCGCGGUAAUACCGGCAGCACGAGUGAUGGCCGCUCUUAUUGGGCCUAAAGCGUCCGUAGCUGGCCGCGCAAGUCCAUCGGGAAAUCCGCACGCCUAACGUGCGGGCGUCCGGUGGAAACUGCGUGGCUUGGGACCGGAAGAUCCAGAGGGUACGUCCGGGGUAGGAGUGAAAUCCUGUAAUCCUGGACGGACCACCGGUGGCGAAAGCGCUCUGGAAAGACGGAUCCGACGGUGAGGGACGAAAGCUCGGGUCACGAACCGGAUUAGAUACCCGGGUAGUCCGAGCUGUAAACGAUGUCUGCUAGGUGUGCCACAGGCUACGAGCCUGUGGUGUGCCGUAGGGAAGCCGUGAAGCAGACCGCCUGGGAAGUACGUCCACAAGGAUGAAACUUAAAGGAAUUGGCGGGGGAGCAC